UAUAAAACAUAUAUUUCAUAACAUCAGAUUGGAUCGAUUCUAAUACAAACAUGUGGCUGUUUAUUGAAGAAUCAAAAUCUGUAAUUAACUACGUAGUUGGUAAUGCACAUUGGCCUUGCUAAUGCUUCAAGAUCAAGCAGACGAUUUUGUGUUUAGUAAACAAGGUAACUGGAAGAAAGGGAAACGAAAAAGUUUUAAGUAUUACUACAAGAAAUGGCGAACGACAGAGAGGUUCUGAGAGAAAUAUGGGAGGGACGAUUACCUGUCUGUUUUCAGUUAAAUUCUGAAGAAAUACAUUCUCUCCAGGCCCCUGAUGCAUAUUAUUUGAUGGUUCCUCGUUUAAGCUACUUUCCUCUCGUUACUGAUAAGGUCCGUAAGCAGUUUGUUAGGUAUAUUCAUCCAGAUAAACAGGAAGCUGAAAUGUGGCUUGAUUUCAAUGGCCAGCCCUUGAGAUGGCAUUACCCGAUUGGAGUGCUGUUUGAUAUGUAUGCGUCAGAUAUCCAAUUACCAUGGAAUAUUACUGUUCAUUUUGACAAGUUUCCAGAAGAGGAACUACUACACUGCCCUUGUAGGGAAGCUGUGGAAUCUCACUUCAUGUCAUGUGUGAAAGAAGCAGAUGUACUUAAGCACCGUAGUCAAGUAGUCUCUAGUAUGCAGAAAAAGGACCAUAAUCAACUGUGGCUUGGACUGCAGAAUGACAAAUUUGAUCAAUUUUGGGCUGUGAACCGGAAACUUAUGGAAGCGAGUGGCGAGGAAGUAUUUAAAUAUAUUCCAUUCCGUUGUUACCGUGGUGAAGGACCUUUCAUCCAGCGUCUUGUGAGGCCAGUUACAGAGGAAGGACAACGAAAAUCUUUGCAAAAUCUGAUACAGGAAGUUUUCCCAAAUGAGACAAAUCAUGAAAUGUAUGAUGACUCAGCAGACCUUUCUUAUCAAGGCAAAGUUCAUAUGCAUACUUCAACAAUAUAAAACCAACAAGCAGUGAACAAGUCUUUGCCAUCAACAUACUCCAGACUUAUCAGGUUAAGAACUAUGGAGUGCCAAGUUGACAAAAACGAACAUUUCCGACACCUUCUCUGCGAGUUCAAUUGAGUCUCCAAAGCUGCAGAGGCUGCCCGAAACAUUUGUGCCGUCUACGGAGAAGACUCUAUUGUAUACAAAGUGUAUUUAUGUGUUUCGUAUGAUUCUCAGAAUAAACAAUGAUUAACAGCAUUUACCAAAUGAUCUUCAUAAUGGAGAUGCACUGUUCUUUUAUGGUGAGAAAUGAAUUUUGAAAUAUUAUUUUGAAAAACUUCAUUUCAAAUCAUUAAAGUGAUAGAUGUGGAGGACUUGAGAAAGCUGGGAAUUAGAUGCAAACAGGAAAGUAGUGACUGAGAGAGCCAUGUUUCAAACUGAGGUGUGUAGUCCAGGGAGGAACAACAUUGCAAAAUAUUGGGAGUAGAAUGGAAAUAAACUCUCAAGUUCUCACCAGGUGGUUCUGUAUCACUUAUGAUGAUCAUUAUGAAUCAUGUUAUAAAAGUAAAUAUUCUUCUUGUAUAUGACACGUUUCGUGGUUACAAAGAUAUUUAUUUCAAGUUUGCUUUAAGCCUGAAACAUAAAGUGGUUCAAAAAUGAAUGCUUUACAAGAUUUCUAAUAGUCCAAACAUGAACCAGUCAGAGUUUUUAACACAUAUAUCCAAAGAGAUUUUAACAACUUUGUAAAAUAAAUACUACAAACAUUCCUGUAUCCACAAACUAUUUAGACACCCACAGCCAAACAGACAGACACAAGGUGCCAACCAGAUCUAAUGAAGGUAUUGAUUCUUGUCAAUAAUGCAUUCAACUUUCAUUCAGUGAAAUAUCUACAUUAUUUUUGGAAAUAAAAGUAUUUGUUUGUCUAUA
This is an RNA transcript of Zootermopsis nevadensis, 1878 nucleotides long. It is a transcript of the gene named autophagy protein 5, with no coding region annotated. NCBI's taxonomy places the organism in Eukaryota, Metazoa, Arthropoda, Insecta, Blattodea, Termopsidae. The record is from RefSeq and is a predicted model, not a curated record.